CCUACGGGGGGCUGCAGUGGGGAAUUUUGCGCAAUGGGCGAAAGCCUGACGCAGCAACGCCGCGUGGGUGAUGAAGGUCUUCGGAUCGUAAAACCCUGUCGUUGGGGACGAAGGUGGGGGCGUUAAUAGCGUUUCUGCUUGACGGUACCCGGAGAGGAAGCCCCGGCUAACUCUGUGCCAGCAGCCGCGGUAAUACAGAGGGGGCAAGCUUGGUUCGAAAUUAUUGGGCGUGGUGUGCGAGGUGAGAGGUGUAAUCCCCGGGCUCAACUUGGGAACUGCAUCUGAGACUGGAAGGCUAGAGUACUGGAGAGGGUGGUGGAAUUCCUCGUGUAGCGGUGAAAUGCGUAGAGAUGAGGAGGAACACCAGUGGCGAAGGCGGCCACCUGGACAGUAACUGACGCUGAGGCGCGAAAGUGUGGGUAGCAAACAGGAUUAGAUACCCGUGUAGUC
RNAcentral lists this ribosomal RNA (450 nucleotides) under uncultured bacterium. Its description in RNAcentral is "partial 16S ribosomal RNA". It matches the Rfam family "Bacterial small subunit ribosomal RNA", at positions 338 to 795 of the family's 1533-position model. The record is from RNAcentral.